UCAAGCAAAGAAGAGCACAAGGUGGAUGCCUUGGCACUAAGAGCCGAUGAAAGACGUGACAAGCUGCGAUAAGCGACGGAGAGGAGCAAAUAUCCAUCGACCCGUCGAUUUCUGAAUGGGGAAACCCGGCUAAGCAAACCUUAGUCACUGUAUGGUGAAUCCAUAGCCAUACAGGGGGAACCCGGGGAACUGAAACAUCUAAGUACCCGGAGGAAGAGAAAAUAAACAUGAUUUCCUAAGUAGCGGCGAGCGAACGGGAAAGAGCCUAAACCGCAGUGCGUGCACUGCGGGGUUCGGACUGCAGGAUGUGAGCAGGCAGGUAGCAGAAUGGUUUUGGGAAAGCCAGCCAGAGAGAGUGAAAGCCUCGUAAGCGAAACCGAAAUGCAGCAAGCAGAAUCCAGAGUACCACGAGACACGAGAAACCUUGUGGGAAUGAGCGGGGACCACCCCGUAAGGCUAAAUACUCCUUAGUGACCGAUAGCGGAUAGUACUGUGAAGGAAAGGUGAAAAGAACCCCGGGAGGGGAGUGAAAGAGAACCUGAAACCUAGUGUUUACAAGCUGUGGAACCACGAAGGCAGGCAACUGUCCGGUGGAACUGCGUACUUUUUGUAGAACGGUCCGGCGAGUUACGCAUGCAGGCAAGGUUAAGGACGGAAAGUCCGGAGCCGAAGGGAAACCAAGUCUGAAAAGGGCGCCCCGCAAGGGAAGCGAGUCUGUAUGUGUAGACCCGAAACCGGGUGAUCUACCCAUGUCCAGGUUGAAGCUGCUGUAAAAGGCGGUGGAGGACCGAACGCACAUCUGUUAAAAAAGGUGGCGAUGAGGUGUGGGUAGGGGAGAAAUUCCAAUCGAACCCGGAGAUAGCUGGUUCUCCCCGAAAUAGCUUUAGGGCUAGCCUUGAACAAGACAGAUGGAGGUAGAGCACUGAAUUUCCUAGGGGGCGUCAAAGCUUACCGAAGAAUAUCAAACUCCGAAUGCCAUACUGCCGAUGUUCAGGAGUCAGACUGUCCGAGAUAAGUUGGAUCGUCGAGAGGGAAACAGCCCAGAUCACCAGCUAAGGUCCCAAAGUACAUGUUAAGUGGGAAAGGAGGUGGGAGUUCGAAGACAACUAGGAUGUUGGCUCAGAAGCAGCCAUACAUUGAAAGAGUGCGUAAUAGCUCACUAGUCGAGAGGUCCUGCGCCGAAAAUAACCGGGGCUAAAACAUGACACCGAAGCUGUGGAUUUACAAAGAGAUUUGUGAGUGGUAGGGGAGCAUUGUUAUUUUAGGGAAGCGGAACCGAGAGGAGCCGUGGAGAAAUAAGAAGAGAGAAUGCCGGAAUGAGUAGCGAGAGGAAGGUGAGAAUCCUUCCGGCCGAAUAUCUAAGGUUUCCAGAGUAAAGCUGAUCUGCUCUGGGUAAGUCGGGGCCUAAGGCGAGGACGAAAGUCGUAGUCGAUGGACAACAGGUAGAGAUUCCUGUACUCCGUAUGAACAGAACUGUGGGGACGCGGUCAGAAAGUCUUAGCCGGGAGAGGAAAAACCGGCCCAAGCGAAGAACCGGUCAGGGAGGCAAAUCCCCCUGGCAACGGGAAAGCGUGAUGGAUACCGAACCAAAGAGUAGGGAAGAAGAUGAGCUGACCGCCGAGAAAAGCCACUAUAGCUUGAUACGGACCCGUACCGCAAACCGACACAGGUAGAUGAGGAGAGAAUCCUAAGGCCGACGGGAGAAGCAUUGUUAAGGAACUCGGCAAAAUGACCCCGUAACUUCGGGAGAAGGGGUGCCUGCGCGAGCAGGCCGCAGAGAAUAGGUCCAAGCAACUGUUUAGCAAAAACACAGGUCUAUGCGAAACCGAAAGGUGAAGUAUAUGGGCUGACGCCUGCCCGGUGCUGGAAGGUUAAGGGGAGAGCUUAGCGGGUAACUGCGAAGGUUUGAACUGAAGCCCCAGUAAACGGCGGCCGUAACUAUAACGGUCCUAAGGUAGCGAAAUUCCUUGUCGGGUAAGUUCCGACCCGCACGAAAGGCGUAAUGAUUUUCUCAACAAUGCACCCGGUGAAAUUGAAAUACCAGUGAAGAUGCUGGUUACCCGCGCCAGGACGGAAAGACCCCAUGGAGCUUUACUCUAGCUUGAUGCUGGGAUUCGGUACGGCAUGUACAGGAUAGGUGGGAGACUUAGAAGGGAUGACGCCAGUUGUCCCGGAGUCGCUGUUGGGAUACCACCCUUGUCGUAUUGGAUUUCUAACUAACCGCCGUAAACCGGCGGGAGGACACCGUCAGGCAGGGAGUUUGACUGGGGCGGUCGCCUCCGAAAGAGUAUCGGAGGCGCUCAAAGGUUCCCUCAGAAUGGACGGAAACCAUUCGGAGAGUGUAAAGGCAGAAGGGAGCUUGACUGUGACACCGACGGGUGGAGCAGGUAGGAAACUAGGACUUAGUGAUCCGGUGGUAUAAAGUGGGAUUGCCAUCGCUCAACGGAUAAAAGCUACCCUGGGGAUAACAGGCUAAUCACUCCCAAGAGUUCACAUCGACGGAGUGGUUUGGCACCUCGAUGUCGGCUCAUCGCAUCCUGGGGCUGAAGUAAGUCCCAAGGGUUGGGCUGUUCGCCCAUUAAAGCGGUACGCGAGCUGGGUUCAGAACGUCGUGAGACAGUUCGGUCCCUAUCCGGCGCGGGCGCAGGAUAUUUGAGAGGAGCUGCCCUUAGUACGAGAGGACCGGGGUGGACUGACCGCUGGUGAACCGGUUGUGUUACCAAACGCAUCGCCGGGUAGCCAAGUCGGGCCGGGAUAAACGCUGAAGGCAUCUAAGCGUGAAGCCCCCCUUAAGAAGAGAUAUCCAAGGAAGGAAGCUUCUUCGGAAGCGGAGAACCUGAAGACCCCUUGAAGACGACAAGGUAGAUAGGCUUGAGGUGGAAGUGCAGUAAUGUAUGAAGCUGACAAGUACUAAUCGGUCGAGAGCUUGACCU
RNAcentral lists this ribosomal RNA (2933 nucleotides) under termite gut metagenome. Its description in RNAcentral is "bacterial LSU rRNA". It matches the Rfam family "Bacterial large subunit ribosomal RNA". The record is from RNAcentral.